AUCCACCCGGUAUUCCAUGUCUCAUAGCUGAAGCCGUUCACACCCGACUAUUCUCCGGUCUUCGCUGAGCUUCCUCGAACACCUGACCUCACUGCUGCGCCACUAUAGCCUGAGGCGAUAUUGGAUCGCUGAAUGGUCAAGGAAGGCAACACUUCCAUCGUCCAGGUUCGUGUACAAUGGUCAUCUCUCUCUCUGGAUUCUGCAACUUGGGAGGACUACAUGGUGCUUCGUCAUCGAUACCCGACGGCUCCAUGUUGGGAUGAUGCCGCUUCCGCUCAAGGGGGGCAAUUGUCACACCUGCUCCCACCUGAGCAGUGA
RNAcentral lists this ribosomal RNA (318 nucleotides) under Triticum aestivum (bread wheat). Its description in RNAcentral is "partial small subunit ribosomal RNA". Lineage: Eukaryota; Viridiplantae; Streptophyta; Magnoliopsida; Poales; Poaceae. The record is from RNAcentral.